UACGUAGGGUGCAAGCGUUAAUCGGAAUUACUGGGCGUAAAGCGUGCGCAGGCGGUUGUGCAAGACCGAUGUGAAAUCCCCGGGCUUAACCUGGGAAUGGCAUUGGUGACUGUACGGCUAGAGUGUGUCAGAGGGGGGUAGAAUUCCACGUGUAGCAGUGAAAUGCGUAGAGAUGUGGAGGAAUACCGAUGGCGAAGGCAGCCCCCUGGGAUAACACUGACGCUCAUGCACGAAAGCGUGGGGAGCAAACAG
Molecule: ribosomal RNA, 252 nt
Filed under: uncultured bacterium
Lineage: Bacteria
Description: partial 16S ribosomal RNA
Rfam family: Bacterial small subunit ribosomal RNA
Source: RNAcentral